UACGGAGGGUGCAAACGUUGCUCGGAAUCAUUGGGCGUAAAGCGCACGUAGGCGGACCAUCAAGUCGGUUGUGGAAUCCCUCGGCUUAACCGAGGACGUGCAUUCGAAACUGAUGGCCUUGAGUACGAAAGAGGAUCGCGGAAUUCCCGGUGUAGAGGUGAAAUUCGUAGAUAUCGGGAGGAACACCAGUGGCGAAGGCGGCGAUCUGGGUCGAUACUGACGCUGAGGUGCGAAAGCGUGGGGAGCAAACAGG
This 253-nucleotide ribosomal RNA is filed under the name uncultured bacterium. RNAcentral's name for it is "partial 16S ribosomal RNA". It matches the Rfam family "Bacterial small subunit ribosomal RNA", at positions 524 to 776 of the family's 1533-position model. The record is from RNAcentral.